Molecule: ribosomal RNA, 497 nt
Filed under: uncultured bacterium
Lineage: Bacteria
Description: partial 16S ribosomal RNA
Rfam family: Bacterial small subunit ribosomal RNA
Source: RNAcentral
GAUGAACGCUGGCGGCGUGCCUAAUACAUGCAAGUCGAGCGAACGGACGAGAAGCUUGCUUCUCUGAUGUUAGCGGCGGACGGGUGAGUAACACGUGGAUAACCUACCUAUAAGACUGGGAUCACUUCGGGAAACCGGAGCUAAUACCGGAUAAUCUUUUGAACCGCAUGGUUCAAAAGUGAAAGACGGUCUUGCUGUCACUUAUCGAUGGAUCCGCGCUGCAUUAGCUAGUUGGUACGGUAACGGCUUACCAAGGCUACGAUGCCUAGCCGACCUGAGAGGGGGAUAGGCCACACUAGAACUGAGACACGGUCCAGACUCCUACGGGAGGCAGCAGUAGGGAAUCGUCCGCAAUGGGCGAAAGCCUGACGGAGCAACGCCGCGUGAGUGAUGAAGGUCUUCGGAUCGUAAAACUCUGUUAUUAGGGAAGAACAGAUGUGUAAGUAACUGUGCACAUCUUGACGGUACCGAAUCAGAAAGCCACGGCUAACUACGUG